CAAAAAGCUAUGACAGGGAUGAACACAUGCCGUCCCUUAGUCGACAGAGAGCCGGGGUAGCUGAAAACCGGUACUAAUAUGGUAUGUGGAGAUCGCCCUCGAGCUGCAGUUCUGAACGGUUUAAAUGGCUUAGUAGGAAUUGCCGGACUGGUAGUCCGUUAUCAAAACCGGUAGCAUUGAAGCGCUGGUGAGUGGCCGCAGCAAGCGGCAAUCAGGGUGGUACCGCGGGAGUUAAACCUCUCGUCCCUGAA
Molecule: non-coding RNA, 251 nt
Filed under: Syntrophothermus lipocalidus
Lineage: Bacteria; Bacillati; Bacillota; Clostridia; Eubacteriales; Syntrophomonadaceae
Description: T-box sequence
Rfam family: T-box leader
About the family: Uncharged tRNA acts as the effector for transcription antitermination of genes in the T-box leader family. T-boxes are found upstream of many aminoacyl-tRNA synthetase genes and some amino acid biosynthetic genes usually in Gram-positive bacteria. The anticodon of a specific tRNA base pairs to a specifier sequence within the T-box motif, and the NCCA acceptor tail of the tRNA base pairs to a conserved bulge in the T-box antiterminator hairpin.
Source: RNAcentral